GGAUGAAUGAAUUCUUCAGCAUGCUUUAGGAACUGAGGCUCCCUAAAAUAGCCUUCUGUCCCCUCCGCAUCACUUCCUCACCCCUCAAAUUAAACAGCAGCCAACAAUGAUGUGAACCAUGAGUGCAGCUCGGAGGUGCUGGCGUUUGCAGGCCUUGGCCUACACUCUUCCCAGGUGUAUUUGCAGCCUCUCUCCUAUCAGAGUGGAUCUCCAUGUUCUUUGAGGACCAUCCCUGAAACUUCUGUAAUAGCCACCUUCCCCCUGGUUCCCUACAGCACCUACUAUAGGACUAUUGACCAAAGAUGCCUCGAUAUGUGACAAGCUGUCAAUUCCAAUGAAAUCUUUGAAGAUGAUAACAGUUACCUCCCCAGAGAAUGGAGACCGCAACAGUUCCCCUCCCAUAACAUCCAACAAACGGAACAAUGCCCAGAGAGCACUUAGAAGAAUUCAUGGUACCUGAAGAAGUUUGCUGACCACUGUACUUCAUCAUCUCUUCACAUCUGCCGAACCACAGUCUUCCAACCAUGAUGGGGCAUCCGUCCACCUCCAGGGGUCUAUGCCAUCAACAAGAUUUCCGUGACUCAGCACUCUAGGCCAAAACACAAGAACCAGCAAACACACACGAGGAAGAAAACCUUCUCCAUACUCCCACCGCAGACUGACUCAAGGGCAAUGUUCAACCAUGACAUGUGCAUGUUGUCAGCAAAAGGUGGGUGAGAGCCCGAGAAA
Ailuropoda melanoleuca (giant panda) is the source of this 729-nucleotide long non-coding RNA. RefSeq lists it as uncharacterized. Lineage: Eukaryota; Metazoa; Chordata; Mammalia; Carnivora; Ursidae. The transcript is spliced from 4 exons. The record is from RefSeq and is a predicted model, not a curated record.